ACCACGUUGAUGGCGCAGGCCAACCGGCCG
This 30-nucleotide small RNA is filed under the name Bombyx mori (domestic silkworm). RNAcentral describes it as "ovarian small RNA-11224". Lineage: Eukaryota; Metazoa; Arthropoda; Insecta; Lepidoptera; Bombycidae. The record is from RNAcentral.